AUCUUUAAAUGAGAUUGUAUUGGUCAUUAUCAACGUAAGUGUUAAAAGUACAACAGCCCGAAAGUUCAAUACUAUCGUGUAUUUUGUUUGUUAUGUUUGGCCCAAGCCUCAUUUGACUGAACUAAUGGAACUUGGAUGAAUCUGAAUCCGGACCCUUCAUUUCGAGACAUUACGGUUUUGAAACAGAGACUAUAGACAUACUAAAUGUAAUUUUCGCUAAAACUAACACUGGAAAUUGGAACUAAAAUAAUUGUCUGGAAAGAGUUAACGUUAAGAAAAUAGCAACUGAUCUUCAAACAAUACCUCUCACAUUAGAAGGAAAGUGUUUAUUAAUAAAACUAAAGUUAUUAUUUUAAUUUUUAUUUUUGUGCAAAAUAUUUCCAAUAACAAAAAAUGUAGCCAAAAAAGCAGAUGAACUUGUUGAAAUAUUUGGGUUCAAUGGGAAAAGGGAACUCAAAAUAGAAACCAUUUGUAAACCGAAAUGUUUUGGAAGGUACGAUAUAAUCAAUAUUCCAAUUUUUACAAUGUCAAUGUAUAUAAUGUGUGUUUUUGAAUAUAUAGAAACAAAAGAAAAGAAUGUAAUAUUUUGUGACAGAACUAUCACAUUCAAUUACUUGGAAUAUAUUAUAGGGCUGUGUUUAUUGGACAUGUAGUGGACAUAACGAUCGUUUUGUUCUUUGACACGUUUUGAAGAAAUCGCUUUUCCCUUUGAUUACUUUGAAUAAAAUUAUGCGGUGCUACGUGUCCAUAUAUUUGAGCAUAGCUCUCUUGUUUAGGUCUACCAUUGAAUAAUAGUGUAUUGCAUAGAUUUAGUCCACAUGAGUAUUAUAAAAGUGUGAUUGAUUUUAUAAAAAGUAAUAUUUUGAAUAAUAUGUAUGAUGUCAAGAUGGGCAAACAUAGGCAUAUAUAAUGAAUUUAUAAAAAAGCGGACUGGGGAAAGACUAGUAAUUAUCAGUAACUCAAAUCUUAGUGUAACAUGCUACAACAUUGAUAAUAAAAUUUUGGCAAAGUAUAUUAAGACUUCCAACUAUAAUUUGCCUUGGGAUAUCUUGCCAUUAGAAACAAAGCCAUGGAUUGAAAGAAUAGCAGGGGAUGGAAUGUGUUUAAUAUGCAAUACAGAACCUCAGUUUGUUUCACAUGUUUUCAUGUGAAUUCACACAAAAACUUCACUAUGAUUUCAUUUGUUUAAUUGUAUUAUAGUCAUAUGACUCAUAUAGUAUCAAUUUAUGCAAAGCAUUAUUUUGAAAGGAAAUGUUAAAUUUAUAAUAUUUGCAUUUGCUAAUUUUGUUUCUUUUAUUGUUUUAUAUCAUUGAAAUUAUUAAAAUAACUUAAUUAUGGUAUCGUUGAAUAUUACUAUUGAAACAAACUGGAAAUUUAUGGAACUCCAAAAUUACCAAAUGGAUUAUGGAUGGAAUAUGGACUUAUAUUUACUUUAUACAUUAUUUUUUUAUAUUCAAAUAAAAUCACUCAUUGAGUGAAUUAAUUAUAAAAAAGGAAAUCACUGAAUUAAAGCGGUUGUUAGGAGUAUGAAGGACUUUUUCUACCCAAAUCAGUGUUAAACAACACUCAACAAAUUGCUGAACAAUUGGAAGGAAGGCAUUUCCAAGCAGAAACUGAUACCGAACUGAUGCCAUGGUCCCGUAGCAGUGUAGUCUGAGGAAUGAAGUGAAUUACGAUAUUUAAUGGAAGACUUGAAUGUCAUUUAUGCUUGUGGUUGUGGAGGCACAGUAUGCUGCGAAUAGUGCUCUUGAACAUGACGUGCAAGUGGUACAAGCCAGCCAGAACUUCAUGAAUGCCAAGUUUCAAAUCCAAAUCAAUCUUAAGUUUUGGCAUAAUUGGUACAAAUGUAGUCCAUGCUUGGAUAGUUUCAUUUUGUUUGCAAUACUUGCAAUUCCAUAACCCACCCUCCAUGUUCUUAUCAAUAGGCGAUACCCUCUUCUUGUCUAGGGCAGGGGUGACGCUGGUGGGCCAUGUUAGCGCGACUUAAAAAAGAAUGAAUUGGAUCAUAUCAAGCCUGCCCCAAACAUAAAGCGAGAGAAUCGAAUCCCUAGAAUUUCAAAGAUGAAGCUUACACUGUAUUUAACAAUGGAAUCUAGCCUCAACAAGCGGACGUACGAAUGACUCAAAUAUACCUGAUACUAUCUUAUUAAUCAGGAAUGUAAGAAAUAUCAUCCAAACUCUUUAUAUGUUUUCGCACUUGUGUCUUGAAGGAUGAUCAUAUGGGAGGAUAGCAGAUGCUUUAAUGUACUUCAUCCAGGAAGUUUCAACAGUGGUGAAAGAUAUUUGGAUUAUGAGACAUUGGGUAGCGCUAUGGACAAAACGCAUUCUUGGCAACCAAGUAUAUCAGUCACAACGAAUGGAAUUAUUGGGACUAAAAUUUAUGCAUGUCCUGAACAUUCAACCUGCAGAACUACUAUGGGGUUGGAUGUUUAAACUCAAAAGUCAUCAGCUUUCAUUGUUUCAUCAUACAUUUUUUUGAAUCAUACAACUGAACAUACAAUGUGAAUCAUACACCAUUUAUCAUAAACUGAUCCUGAGGUAUGAAUUUUGUUAUGGUUUGCUGCGGUCUAUGGAAUGGAAGGGCUGGACUUGGACAGUUGACUUGGUGUUGAGUGUUUACACACACUAAGAUACAUAUUUUAUUGAGGAACUAACUGGAAAUAAAAUAGUCUUAUGUUACAAUUGCAUUGUAUAAAUUGAGAAAUUUUUGUUUGAACUGAUUCUAAUUUAUGAUUCGAAAUACCCAGUCCUGGUCAUUCUGUUUUAAUUGGAUUCUAUUUACUUAGGAAUGAGGUGGUAUAUUUGUUCCUGAAAUUCGGAAAAAUUGAACCACUGCAUAGUAUUCAUCUUCUUCUGUGAACUUGUAAGCAGGGACUCGUUGGAGUUGGCUUUGUUAACUGCAUGGUCCUUCGGUCUGCACCGAAAAACAUUGUUCUUAUUUUUUGGUAUUGGUUCUUGUUUUUUUUCCAUGCUUCAUUUUUGUUAACUGAUAUAAUAUAUUUUUAUAAUGCUCAAGUUCAUUGUACAAUGAGUGAUGAACUGUAUAGUUUAUUGUGCAUACCUAAGUGUGAUCUAGUUCUUCUUAAAGUGUGUGUAAAUACUGAUGAAUCUCAGUAGCCUCUAUGUACAAUAAUUAGUAAUUUUUACUGUUUUUUUUAAUUUCCUUGCUUCCUUUCCGAAAAUAAUCAAGGUAUCCAAUGAUGCUUGUACAUCAUGCUCUCCAUUGCCGAAUCUGUGAUAAUAAUAUUUCCUGUCUCUAUUUAAAUUUUCGAUACGUGUCUAUGUCCAAUAAACGUUUUGUGACUGCUGUUAUUCUUUUUCUUGGAAAUGUCCGACUUCAAACAGAAUAUGACCUCUCAAAAUCCUGAAUUACCCUUAUUUACCUUCAUACUAUCUUCAAAUUGCCUGCACAUUUCAUCAUCUUAUUAUGUUAAAGUUAUAUUUAAUCUUAUUUGAUUUAAUCUAUAGUAGCCUAUACUAUGCCAUGAUAUGCUCAUAUACAGCAAAAAUAAAAGGGUUGGGAGCCUAGAUGCCCUUCAUCGGUCCUGCAUACAGGCCCACACAAAACAAUAAUUAUUUACUGUUGAAAUAUUGAUUAUGAUUUUAAUAGUGUUGAAUUUGUCUCUCUCUUCCUGUUUUAUUCGGGUUGAGGAGGAAUAAAUCGAUUUCUCUAUUGACUCGUUAUGCCGGCGAAAUAUGGUCAGGGUUUGGCUAAUUGGUCUGGCGAAAUAGGAUCAGUGUGUGUGUAAUUUGGGCUGGCGAAAUGGUGUCAGAGAUCGUAUCUUUUUUAGAAUUUUUUUAGGCCUCUAGACAAAAGCUGUAAUGGUUAGAAAGAAACUGUUUCUGUACGGGGAAAUAACUUUAAGUGCGAUUUCAAUGCACAGUCACUUGCUACAGAUAAAAGGAUACCUGA
Styela clava is the source of this 3913-nucleotide non-coding RNA. Lineage: Eukaryota; Metazoa; Chordata; Ascidiacea; Stolidobranchia; Styelidae. The record is from RefSeq and is a predicted model, not a curated record.